This 374-nucleotide ribosomal RNA is filed under the name uncultured bacterium. Its description in RNAcentral is "bacterial SSU rRNA". It matches the Rfam family "Bacterial small subunit ribosomal RNA", at positions 28 to 400 of the family's 1533-position model. The record is from RNAcentral.
GACAAACGCUGGCGGCGUGCUUAACACAUGCAAGUCGAACGGUACUCCUACGGGAGUAUAGUGGCGGACGGGUGAGUAACACGUAGCUAAUCUACCCUGAUGUGGGGAAUAACCCCUCGAAAGAGGAGCUAAGACCGCAUAAGUUCUCUCUUGUUAGAGAGAGAAGAAACUUUGGCAGUGAAAAGCCAGAGGCGUUAGGAUGAGGCUGCGGCGGAUUAGCUAGAUGGUGGGGUAAAGCCUACCAUGGCGACGAUCCGUAGCUGGUCUGAGAGGACGACCAGCCACACUGGGACUGAGACACGGCCCAGACUCCUACGGGAGGCAGCAGUGAGGAAUAUUCCACAAUGGGCGCAAGCCUGAUGGAGCGACGCCGC